GCCUGCUCUGUGCCUUACUCCCCCUCCUCCUCGUCCUUCUCCUCCCCCCUUCUCCCUCUUUCCUCUUCCUCCUUCAUCUCAUCUCCUCUUCCUCCUCCCUCAUUCCUCCUCCUCCAUCUCAUUCCUCUUCUUUGUCCUUCAUUCCUCCUCCUCCAUCUCAUCCUCCCUCAUUCCUCUUCUUCCUCCUCCAUCUCAUCCUCCCUCAUUCCUCUUCUUCCUCUUCCAUCUCAUCUCCUCCCUCAUUCCUCUUCCUCCUUCAUCUCAUCUCCUCUUCUUCCUCCCUCAUUCCUCUUCCUCCAUCUCAUCCUCCCUCAUUCCUCUUCCUCCUCCCCCUCCUCUUCAUUUCUUUUUCUCCAUUCCCUCUCCUCACUUCUUUUCUCCUCCUCCUUCCUUCUCUUCCUCAUUCCUUUUCCUCCUCCUCUUCUUGCCCCUUCCCCUUCUCCUCAUACUCCUUUCCUUCCUCUUUCCUCCCUCAUUCCUCCUCCUCCCCCUCAUCACCUUCUACUUCCUCUUCUGCACUUCUUUUCCUUCAUCCUCCUCCAUCCCCCUCUUCAUUUUUUCUCCUCCACUUGCUUCUUCCUCCUCUUCCUCUUCCUCAGUCUUUUCCCUCCAUUAUUCAACUUCUCCCUCCUUCCCCUUCUCCUCCUCCUUGUUCCUUUCCUUCCAUCCUCCGCCAUCUUCUACUCCUCAUCACCCUCCUACCCUUCUUUGCUUUUCCUCCCUCCAUCUUCCUUCUCUUCUUCCUCCCCCAUUCUCUGGAGCCUUCUGUAAAAUCCUCACCUUUUCUGUGCCUCCUUAAAUUAGUCCCUUCCCCCCAGUUUCUGUCCCCUUUCCUUUUAGAAAUAAAGGACCAGAGAAAUCUUAAAACUGGAAGGGACCUUGGUCACCUUCCAGAGGUCACCUCCUCUGUGCAGAAAUCCCCUCUAAAUCAUCUCCUGACUUGCAGAUAUCCAGCCUCUACUUAACUACUUCCAGUGAUAUGGAGCCUCCAAUACAGACUCCCCAGAUUCUCAGAGUUGGAAGGGUCCUCAGGGGUCAUCUAGUCCUAUCCAUACCUGAACAAAAUCCAUUCUACAAUCCACCCUGCUUCCAGGGGUAGAGGAGAAUCCUUGGCUUGAAGACCUCUGAUGAUGGGAAACUCACUACCUGCUGGACUUUAGCCCUUUCCAUGCUUGACUACCCCUACCUUUUGAGAAAAUUAUUUCCUUAGGGGCAGGGGAGAUAAUUCCACCACUUUUCCUUCCAUUUUCUCCUUGUCCUCUAUUCCCCCUCUAUGUCCUUGAAGUAUUUUUCUUAAUAACAUUUAUACAGCUCUUCAGUGUCUUCCCAGGCUAAUUCACUUAUGCUUGUCCAUGUGCCCAUCUGUCUAGUGGUCUCAGCCUCAUUAGGAAGAUGUCACUUCACUCAGUUCACCUGCCUGCCUUCCCCAGGAGCUC
RNAcentral lists this long non-coding RNA (1436 nucleotides) under Phascolarctos cinereus (koala). Its description in RNAcentral is "lncRNA (ENSPCIG00000036574.1)". The record is from RNAcentral. Lineage: Eukaryota; Metazoa; Chordata; Mammalia; Diprotodontia; Phascolarctidae.